GAUGAACGCUGGCGGCGUGCCUAAUACAUGCAAGUCGAGCGAACGGACGAGAAGCUUGCUUCUCUGAUGUUAGCGGCGGACGGGUGAGUAACACGUGGAUAACCUACCUAUAAGACUGGGAUAACUUCGGGAAACCGGAGCUAAUACCGGAUAAUAUUUUGAACCGCAUGGUUCAAAAGUGAAAGACGGUCUUGCUGUCACUUAUAGAUGGAUCCGCGCUGCAUUAGCUAGUUGGUAAGGUAACGGCUUACCAAGGCAACGAUGCAUAGCCGACCUGAGAGGGUGAUCGGCCACACUGGAACUGAGACACGGUCCAGACUCCUACGGGAGGCAGCAGUAGGGAAACUUCCGCAAUGGGCGAAAGCCUGACGGAGCAACGCCGCGUGAGUGAUGAAGGUCUUCGGAUCGUAAAACUCUGUUAUUAGGGAAGAACAUAUGUGUAAGUAACUGUGCACAUCUUGACGGUACCUAAUCAGAAAGCCACGGCUAACUACGU
RNAcentral lists this ribosomal RNA (496 nucleotides) under uncultured bacterium. RNAcentral's name for it is "partial 16S ribosomal RNA". It matches the Rfam family "Bacterial small subunit ribosomal RNA", at positions 28 to 506 of the family's 1533-position model. The record is from RNAcentral.